GAUGAACGCUGGCGGCGUGCCUAAUACAUGCAAGUCGAGCGAACAGACGAGGAGCUUGCUCCUUCGACGUUAGCGGCGGACGGGUGAGUAACACGUAGGUAACCUACCUAUAAGACUGGGAUAACUUCGGGAAACCGGAGCUAAUACCGGAUAAUAUUUCGAACCGCAUGGUUCGAUAGUGAAAGAUGGCUUUGCUAUCACUUAUAGAUGGACCUGCGCCGUAUUAGCUAGUUGGUAAGGUAACGGCUUACCAAGGCAACGAUACGUAGCCGACCUGAGAGGGUGAUCGGCCACACUGGAACUGAGACACGGUCCAGACUCCUACGGGAGGCAGCAGUAGGGAAUCUUCCGCAAUGGGCGAAAGCCUGACGGAGCAACGCCGCGUGAGUGAUGAAGGUCUUCGGAUCGUAAAACUCUGUUAUUAGGGAAGUACAAACGUGUAAGUAACUGUGCACGUCUUGACGGUACCUAAUCAGAAAGCCACGGCUAACUACGUG
RNAcentral lists this ribosomal RNA (497 nucleotides) under uncultured bacterium. RNAcentral describes it as "partial 16S ribosomal RNA". It matches the Rfam family "Bacterial small subunit ribosomal RNA", at positions 28 to 507 of the family's 1533-position model. The record is from RNAcentral.